RNA transcript from Drosophila albomicans, 458 nucleotides. It is a transcript of the gene named translation machinery-associated protein 7 homolog, with no coding region annotated. NCBI's taxonomy places the organism in Eukaryota, Metazoa, Arthropoda, Insecta, Diptera, Drosophilidae. The record is from RefSeq and is a predicted model, not a curated record. The transcript has 3 exons.
CACACAUACUCAUUGACUGGUCACCAAAAACACCGCUGCUCACGCACACACGCACAACAGGGACGCGAGUUGGAAGGAAAACAAUAAAACAAAAAAACGUGACCGCAAGCUGAAUUUCAAAAUAUACUAGUGAAAAUUAUUAUGUGACCGCAAGUUGUAUUUACAAAUAUACCAAUUAUAUUAAAGGUCUAUAAAUGGGUUAUCUAUAGUUCAUCAGACUUGUGAAGGAUCAAAGGAUGAAGGACAUUGGUUUGGCACCGUUUGUAAUCAGAAUUCUAAUAACGGAAUGUGGUAUUAUGAGCAGAGAAAUGGAACCUGCCAGGAAAUGGUUUAUUUUGGAUGUGGAGGCAAUAUGAAUAGAUAUUGCAAUUUGAACGAUUGCCAACGAAAGUGCGAGAGGAGAGAUUGACUCUGAGUGCAAAUAACUAAUUUUAAUAUUUCAUUACUUUAAUAUAUAA